AGCGGGGUAGAGCAGUCUGGUAGCUCGCAAGGCUCAUAACCUUGAGGUCACGGGUUCAAAUCCUGUCUCCGCAA
Molecule: transfer RNA, 74 nt
Filed under: Cuscuta macrocephala
Lineage: Eukaryota; Viridiplantae; Streptophyta; Magnoliopsida; Solanales; Convolvulaceae
Description: tRNA-fMet
Rfam family: tRNA
About the family: Transfer RNA (tRNA) molecules are approximately 80 nucleotides in length.
Source: RNAcentral